RNAcentral lists this ribosomal RNA (492 nucleotides) under uncultured bacterium. RNAcentral's name for it is "partial 16S ribosomal RNA". It matches the Rfam family "Bacterial small subunit ribosomal RNA", at positions 28 to 507 of the family's 1533-position model. The record is from RNAcentral.
GACGAACGCUGGCGGCGUGCUUAACACAUGCAAGUCGAACGGAAAGGCCCCCACUUUUUUGGUGGGGGUGUUCGAGUGGCGAACGGGUGAGUAACACGUGGGUGAUCUGCUCUGUACUUCGGGAUAAGCUUGGGAAACUGGGUCUAAUACCGGAUAGGACCAUGGGUUAGUGUCUCAUGGUGGAAAAAUUAUUGUUUUGGUUCAGGAACAGCUCGCGGCCUAUCAGCUUGUUGGUUGGGUAAUGGCCUACCCAGGCGUCGACAGGUAGCCCGCCUGGGAGGGUGGACGGACCGGAUGUGACUCAGAGACCGCCCACCCACCGGCGGGAGGCAGCGGGAAGGAUUCGCACACGGUGGACGCAUGCCUGAAGCAGCCCCGCCGCGUGGGGGAUGACGGCCGUCUGGUAGAAACCUCCUUUCGGGAGGGACGAAGCCGCACCUUUUUUGGGUGUGGUGACGGUACCUUUGUUAAAAAGCACCGGCUAACUACGUG